UUCACGAUAGUGUAAUGGCUAACAUCGCUGUUUUUCACACAGCAGCUCGGGGUUCGAUUCCUGGCAGUCGUGGAA
Non-coding RNA from Sphaerobolus stellatus SS14, 75 nucleotides. Lineage: Eukaryota; Fungi; Basidiomycota; Agaricomycetes; Geastrales; Sphaerobolaceae. The record is from the annotation of a GenBank genome assembly.